Medicago truncatula (barrel medic) is the source of this 202-nucleotide microRNA precursor. It matches the Rfam family "MIR2619 microRNA precursor family". Lineage: Eukaryota; Viridiplantae; Streptophyta; Magnoliopsida; Fabales; Fabaceae. The record is from Rfam.
AAACAGCCCCCUAUAUAUUGGAUCUUUGACAGUUUUGGCCUCCAAGGCCACUUUUGACUUAGUCUUCGCUGACGUGGCACCCACAAUGGUCGACACGUGGCACCUCACUUAAGGGAUGUGGGUGCCACGUCAGCGAAGAUUCAUUCAAAAGUGGCCUUGGGGGACAAAACUGUCAUAGAUCCAAAACAUAGGGGGGCUGUUU